CAGGAAAAUGAAACUUUCAAGUGCCCUGGAUUUGAAAAGGCAUUUUUCCUCCUUUCAUUUGUCAAAAAAAAAAAAAAAAAAAAAAAAAGAAAGAAAAAAAGAAAAAAAAUUUUAAAUGAUUGUUUCACUGGAAACCUGGGGGAGAUCAUUUAUAAGGCGGAAAGUCCUUUUUUUCAAAAUGCCUUUGCUAAAUGUUUAGGAGAAAGGACAGUGGCCAGUGUGUGAAUCACUACCUGAUGCUGUGUUGAAGGGGCCUCUGGGCAGCUGGUUAAAGACCACUGUAUACUGAAGAUCCACAUCAGCUCCAGGUAACACAAAGGCUGCAGCAACUAGAAAGCACUUUAGCUCUGCCCAAGAUUUAACCCAAUUAACCUAUCUGUAACCUAUUAACCUAAUUAAAUCGCAGAGCUUCUCUGAGAGGGAGGUACACAUACAGACUCUCCCUAUUCAGGGGUAGAGGUUGGGAAGGAGGGCAUAGUUUAGGGAAUAUUGUAAUUUGAAGUCACAUUUUUUUUUUUUUUUUGUGGUAACAGAAUUGGGGCAUCAAAACACAAUUCUAAGGUGUUCCCUCAUGGCACAGCAAGAUAAGGAUCUGGCAUUGUCAAUGCAGCAACGUGGGUCACUGCUGUGGUGCAGGUUUGAUCCUUAGCUCUGGGACUUCCACAUGCUGUGGGUGAGGCCAACAACAACAAAGAAAAAUAGCAGAAAACAAAAAACAAAAAACAAACAAACCACAAUUUCAAGGUGCUCAAUGCUUUCCCAACAGGAGGCCGUGGAUUUAACUGAUAGGCUACCUUUAUACUUACCUAUGUCCCUGCCUUGUGGAAAUUUUGCCUUAAAUUAUUUCUUAGUGAUGUAGAGAGAUAUGGUAAGAGGCCAGGAGAGCCAUCCUGACUAGGACUGCUUGUCACAUUUUCCUUGCUUCAUAGAGACUUCAAAAAGAGGGCAAAGAAAAUCCUGUUACUGUUUUCCUUUCUGUACUAUUGUUUAACUCCAUUCUGUGCAAUUGUUUUCACACGGUGGCUGACUUCACUUUCUUUAAAAGGUGGGAUUUGUAUCCGUCUCCUUGCUAACUUGUGUAACUUUAGCAAAUUGCUCCAUCUUUCUGGGUCACACUUUACUCGCCUGGGUAAAACAAGUGGGUGGAUGGAACGAUUCCAUCAAGUUUUUCCCAGCUUGAAAUGGUUUGUAAUUUGGUAUCCUUACUUCUCCCUCCACAUCUUCUCCUUUGGAUUCCGUUUAUCAAUAAAUGUUUCUCUCUCUCUUUUUUUAAAGUUUUAUUGAAGUAUAAUUGAUUUACAAUGUUGCCAUGAUUCCUGUUGUCUAUCAAAGUGAUUCAGUUAUACAUAUAUACAUAUCUAUUCUUUCAGAUUCUUUUUCCAUCUAGAUGAUCACAGAAUAUGGGGUAGCAUUCCCUGUGCUAUACAGUAGGUCCCCAUUGUCCUGUUGUGGCUCAAUGGUUAACAAACCCAACUAAUAUCCAUGAGGACAUGGGUUCAGUCCCUGGCCUCGCUCAGUGGGUUAAGGAUCUGGCAUUGCUGGGAGCUGUGGUUUAGGUUGCAUACACAGUUCAGAUCCCAAGUUGCUCUGGCUGUGGUGUAGGCUGGCAACUACGGCUCCAAAUUUUUUUUUUUUUUAACAUUUUAAUUCAAAUAUACUUUAAUAAACAAAUUAAACCCACCAAACAAAAACGCCCACAAAAUCCCAGUAAUAAAAUCACAGGCUUUUACACCUCCUGGACAAAGAGAAACUAGAAUGAGAUAACAGGAUCCCAUGCAUAUGUCCCCUCCCCCAGCCUCACACCCCCAUUAUAAUAGUGCAGUUAUCUAGCCAACUCUUCCCCCAAAGCCCUCCUUGCCAGUCUUCCAAUGCAGUCAAUUUGGAGAUGAUUAUAGCCAAACUUUUAAGUUUUUUUUUUUUUUAAAUUUCAUUUAAUGGUACAGAGUCAUAAAUCCCAACCAUACCUUUAGGUACAUCCAAUGUAAACCACUUCUCCGAAUCCCCCACAAUUCCCCUUUUACUGCUUACAGCUCCAAUUGGACCCCUAGCUUGGGAACCUCCAUAUGCCAUAGGUGUGGCUUU
This 2082-nucleotide long non-coding RNA is filed under the name Sus scrofa (pig). RNAcentral describes it as "lncRNA (ENSSSCG00035055826.1)". The record is from RNAcentral. Lineage: Eukaryota; Metazoa; Chordata; Mammalia; Artiodactyla; Suidae.